This is a non-coding RNA of 369 nucleotides. It matches the Rfam family "transfer-messenger RNA". From Rfam's summary of the family: Bacterial tmRNA, also known as 10Sa RNA or SsrA, is named for its dual tRNA and mRNA-like properties. Its role is to liberate the mRNA from a stalled ribosome. To accomplish this part of the tmRNA is used as a reading frame that ends in a translation stop signal. The record is from Rfam.
GGGGAUGUUUAGGAUUCGACAGGUAUAGGUCGAGCUUAAACUGCGCUUAGUAGGUUGCGACUACUAUAAAACGCUCAGUUAAAUAUAACUGCAAAAAAUAAUAAUAAUUCAUACGCCUUAGCUGCCUAAUCGCGGUAUAGCGUAAAUCUUGAUUAGGAUCGUCCACGUUCUGAUUGAGGUUUUAUAUGCAGUGGACUACGUUGCCAGUUCCCGUCUGAAAUUGGCAAAAGAGAUCGACCAGGCUAGUUGGUAGCGGUGGCUAUGUUACACGGCGGAGUUAUCAAUGAAAUUUAAAUAGUGUGACUAUGAACGUAGAUGUUUAGGUGGCGAUAUGCUUGGACGCGGGUUCGACUCCCGCCAUCUCCAUAA